AUUGAACGCUGGCGGCAGGCCUAACACAUGCAAGUCGAGCGAGCGGCGGACGGGUGAGUAAUAUAUCGGAACGUCCCGAGUAAUGGGGGAUAACUAAUCGAAAGAUUAGCUAAUACCGCAUAUUAUUCGAGCGGCCGAUAUCUGAUUAGCGAGUUGGUGGGGUAAAGGCCUACCAAGGCGACGUUCAGUAGCGGGUCUGAGAGGAUGAUCCGCCACACUGGGACUGAGACACGGCCCAGACUCCUACGGGAGGCAGCAGUGGGGAAUUUUGGACAAUGGGCGCAAGCCUGAUCCAGCCAUGCCGCGUGCAGGAUGACGGCCUAUGGGUUGUAAACUGCUUUUGUAUGAGGAUAGGUACCAUACGAAUAAGGACCGGCUAAUUCCGUGCCAGCAGCCGCGGUAAUAC
RNAcentral lists this ribosomal RNA (406 nucleotides) under uncultured bacterium. RNAcentral's name for it is "partial 16S ribosomal RNA". It matches the Rfam family "Bacterial small subunit ribosomal RNA", at positions 30 to 526 of the family's 1533-position model. The record is from RNAcentral.